AGAGUUUGAUCCUGGCUCAGGAUGAACGCUGGCGGCGUGCUUAACACAUGCAAGUCGAGCGAAGCGCUUUGACUUCUUCGGAAAGAUAAGUGACUGAGCGGCGGACGGGUGAGUAACGCGUGGGUAACCUGCCUCAUACAGGGGGAUAACAGUUGGAAACGACUGCUAAUACCGGAUAAGACCACAGCACCGCAUGGUGCAGGGGGAAAAACGCCGGUGGUAUGAGAUGGACCCACGUCGGAUUAGCUAGUUGGUGGGGUAACGGGUCACCAAGGCGACGAUCAGUAACCAACCUGAGAGGGCGACCGGCCACAUUGGGACUGAGACACAGCCCAAACUCCUACGGGAGGCAGCAGUGGGGAAUAUUGCACAAUGGGGGAAACCCUGAUGCAGCGACACCGCGUGAAGGAAGAAGUAUUUCGGUAUGUAAACUUCUAUCAGCAGGGAAGAUAAUGACGGUACCUGACUAAGAAGCCCCGGCUAACUACGUGCCAGCAGCCGCGGUAAUACGUAGGGGGCAAGCGUGAUCCGGAUUUACUGGGAGUAAAGGGAGCGUAAACGGUACGGCAAGUCUGAUGUGAAAACCUGGGGCUCACCCUCGGGACUGCAUUGGAAUCUGUUGAACUAGAGUGUCCGAGAGGUAAGCAGAUUUCCUAGUGUAGCGGGGGAAUGCGUAGAAAUUAGGAGGAACACCGGUGGACCACGGCGGGCUAACUGGACGAAUUACUGACGAAUAAGGUCCAAAAGCGUGGGGAGCAAAACAGGAUUUAGAUACCCUGGUAGUCCACGCCGUAAACGAUGACUACUAGGUGUCGGGCAGCAUAGCUGUUCGGUGCCGGCAGCUAACGCAAUAAAGUAGUCCACCUGGGGGAGUACGUUCGCAAGGAUGAAACUCAAAGGAAUUGACGGGGACCCGCACAAGCGGUGGAGCAUGUGGUUUAAUUCGAAGCAACGCGAAGAACCUUACCUGGUCUUGACAUCCCGCUGACCGUUCCGUAAUGGGAACUUUCCUUCGGGACAGCGGAGACAGGUGGUGCAUGGUUGUCGUCAGCUCGUGUCGUGAGAUGUUGGGUUAAGUCCCGCAACGAGCGCAACCCUUAUCUUUAGUAGCCAGCAUUACGGAUGGGCACUCUAGAGAGACUGCCAGGGAUAACCUGGAGGAAGGUGGGGAUGACGUCAAAUCAUCAUGCCCCUUAUGACCAGGGCUACACACGUGCUACAAUGGCGUAAACAAAGGGAAGCAGAGCCGCGAGGCCGAGCAAAUCUCAAAAAUAACGUCUCAGUUCGGAUUGUAGUCUGCAACUCGACUACAUGAAGCUGGAAUCGCUAGUAAUCGUGGAUCAGAAUGCCACGGUGAAUACGUUCCCGGGUCUUGUACACACCGCCGGUCA
RNAcentral lists this ribosomal RNA (1391 nucleotides) under uncultured bacterium. Its description in RNAcentral is "bacterial SSU rRNA". It matches the Rfam family "Bacterial small subunit ribosomal RNA". The record is from RNAcentral.